RNAcentral lists this non-coding RNA (27 nucleotides) under Rattus norvegicus (Norway rat). The record is from RNAcentral. Lineage: Eukaryota; Metazoa; Chordata; Mammalia; Rodentia; Muridae.
UUGACCAGAUUGUGGUCAAAGGAAGUC